CUAGUUGAUUCAGCAGGUUAGCGCAGUUGGGCACCGUAACCCGGCUUCCGAUUCAUCCCGCAUCGCUAGUUCUGCUUUACAAUGCAGUGUUGGUGCUACUUUACACAACCUUGGACAACUCUAUCUUGUGCAGCGAAAACUUGAGGAAGCUCGUGCGUGUUAUGAGUCGCGUUUUGGACCAGUUCGUGUUCAAAGUGAGAUUGCGAACGAAUCCUUUUUCUGAUCGCCACAAAGUUUAGUGGGUAGGUUUAGGACACCUAGGAGAAGCUUUUCAACGGUGGGAUUGGAAAUUGAACGCGUGAUUUGAGAUACAGUUGACGUGAGGAAGAAUUCAACUGUGGUUGUGUGGUGUUGUUAUUGUUCAAAAAUCAUCCCUAAGCUGAGGUAAAGAUAAAGUGUGAUCGUGGAAUCAUGGCGAGGAGAGGAGGAUGAUCUAAGACUUGAUUUUUGUGAUCAUUAUUAGUUGACUUUCACGGUUUAUUUUUGAUUAAAUGUGGAAUUGAUGGUUGCAUUGUUAUUGGUAUUUUGCUAGUUUUAUUUUGAAUAAUUUUGAAUUUAAUUUUAGUUUGGAAUCUGUUAAAGUUUAUUUGAAAUACUUUGGAAUUUGGUGGGUUAUUAGGAUAACCGGAAUAAUUUGAUCGAUUUAGUGAUUUUUGUGA
Arabidopsis lyrata subsp. lyrata is the source of this 659-nucleotide long non-coding RNA. RefSeq lists it as uncharacterized. The record is from RefSeq and is a predicted model, not a curated record. The transcript is spliced from 5 exons. Lineage: Eukaryota; Viridiplantae; Streptophyta; Magnoliopsida; Brassicales; Brassicaceae.